CCUACGGGUGGCAGCAGUAGGGAAUAUUGCACAAUGGGGGAAACCCUGAUGCAGCGACGCCGCGUGAGUGAAGAAGUAAUUCGGUAUGUAAAGCUCUAUCAGCAGGGAAGAAAAUGACGGUACGUGAGUAAGAAGCCCCGGCUAACUACGUGCAAGCAGCCGCGGUAAUACGUAGGGGGCAAGCGUGAUCGGGAUUUACUGGGUGUAAAGGGAGCGUAGACGGGAUUGCAAGUCUGGAGUGAAAGGCGGGGGCUCAACCCCCGGACUGCUCUGGAAACUGUACGGCUGGAGGGCAGGAGAGGUAAGUGGAAUUCCUAGUGUAGCGGUGAAAUGCGUAGAUAUUUGGAGGAACACCAGUGGCGAAGGCGGCUUACUGGACUGUUACUGACGUUGAGGCUCGAAAGCGUGGGGAGCAAACAGGAUUAGAUACCCUUGUAGUC
Molecule: ribosomal RNA, 440 nt
Filed under: uncultured bacterium
Lineage: Bacteria
Description: partial 16S ribosomal RNA
Rfam family: Bacterial small subunit ribosomal RNA
Source: RNAcentral